GGGCCUGUAGCUCAGUUGGAAUAAGAGCGUCCGCCUUCUAAGCGGAGGGUCGCAGGUUCAAGCCCUGCCAGGCUCA
This 76-nucleotide transfer RNA is filed under the name Pyrinomonadaceae bacterium. RNAcentral's name for it is "tRNA-Arg". It matches the Rfam family "tRNA". Rfam says of the family: Transfer RNA (tRNA) molecules are approximately 80 nucleotides in length. Their secondary structure includes four short double-helical elements and three loops (D, anti-codon, and T loops). Further hydrogen bonds mediate the characteristic L-shaped molecular structure. tRNAs have two regions of fundamental functional importance: the anti-codon, which is responsible for specific mRNA codon recognition, and the 3' end, to which the tRNAs corresponding amino acid is attached (by aminoacyl-tRNA synthetases). tRNAs cope with the degeneracy of the genetic code in two manners: having more than one tRNA (with a specific anti-codon) for a particular amino acid; and 'wobble' base-pairing, i.e. permitting non-standard base-pairing at the 3rd anti-codon position. The record is from RNAcentral. Lineage: Bacteria; Pseudomonadati; Acidobacteriota; Blastocatellia; Blastocatellales; Pyrinomonadaceae.